Molecule: ribosomal RNA, 443 nt
Filed under: uncultured bacterium
Lineage: Bacteria
Description: partial 16S ribosomal RNA
Rfam family: Bacterial small subunit ribosomal RNA
Source: RNAcentral
ACUACGGGAGGCAGCAGUGGGGGAUAUUGGACAAUGGGGGGAACCCUGAUCCAGCGACGCCGCGUGAGUGAAGAAGUAUUUCGGUAUGUAAAGCUCUGUCAGCAGGGAAGAAAGAAAUGACGGUACCUGACCAAGAAGCCCCGGCUAACUACGUGCCAGCAGCCGCGGUAAUACGUAGGGGGCAAGCGUUAUCCGGAAUUACUGGGUGUAAAGGGAGCGUAGACGGUUAAUGAAGUCUGGAGUGAAAGGCCGGGGCCCAACCCCGGGACUGCUCUGGAAACUAUUGAACUUGAGUGCAGGAGAGGUAAGCGGAAUUCCUAGUGUAGCGGUGAAAUGCGUAGAUAUUAGGAGGAACACCAGUGGCGAAGGCGGCUUACUGGACUGUAACUGACGUUGAGGCUCGAAAGCGUGGGGAGCAAACAGGAUUAGAGACCCCAGUAGGC